CCUACGGGGGGCAGCAGUGGGGGAUAUUGCACAAUGGGGGGAACCCUGAUGCAGCGACGCCGCGUGGGCGAUGGAGUACUUCGGUAUGUAAAGCCCUAUCAGCAGGGAAGAAAAUGACGGUACCUGACUAAGAAGCCCCGGCUAACUACGUGCCAGCAGCCGCGGUAAUACGUAGGGGGCAAGCGUUAUCCGGAUUUACUGGGUGUAAAGGGAGCGUAGACGGCAGCGCAAGUCUGGAGUGAAAUGCCGGGGCCCAACCCCGGAACUGCUUUGGAAACUGUAUGGCUGGAGUGCAGGAGAGGAAA
RNAcentral lists this ribosomal RNA (305 nucleotides) under uncultured bacterium. Its description in RNAcentral is "bacterial SSU rRNA". It matches the Rfam family "Bacterial small subunit ribosomal RNA", at positions 338 to 660 of the family's 1533-position model. The record is from RNAcentral.